GGGCAGAUGGCGAAACUGGUAGACGCGCUGGACUUAGGAUCCAGUCCCGAAAAGGGGUCCGAGUUCGACUCUCGGUCUGCCCA
This 83-nucleotide transfer RNA is filed under the name Myxococcaceae bacterium. RNAcentral's name for it is "tRNA-Leu". It matches the Rfam family "tRNA". From Rfam's summary of the family: Transfer RNA (tRNA) molecules are approximately 80 nucleotides in length. Their secondary structure includes four short double-helical elements and three loops (D, anti-codon, and T loops). Lineage: Bacteria; Pseudomonadati; Myxococcota; Myxococcia; Myxococcales; Myxococcaceae. The record is from RNAcentral.